This is a long non-coding RNA of Brassica oleracea var. oleracea, 1060 nucleotides long. RefSeq lists it as uncharacterized. The transcript has 2 exons. Lineage: Eukaryota; Viridiplantae; Streptophyta; Magnoliopsida; Brassicales; Brassicaceae. The record is from RefSeq and is a predicted model, not a curated record.
UCUCCAGAUGAUGUUGAUUUCUUUUCUGACAUGCACAUCAAACUGUCUUUUUAUAAUUUCAAGGGUGUUUGAGUGGCGAGUAAACUCAUGCACAUUUUUUAUCAAUUUUUUUUUCCAAAUUCUCAAUCUGAGAGGAGCUUCUCCGGUCUUCGUCGUCUGACUUCGGUUACUGAAGCGGUGGCCCUCUAGGUUGAAGCUGAUGUCAUGUGGCUCUUUGGAGGAUAGUUGUCGCUUUCUGCUAGAGGACGUCAGAGGCCAAUCGGGCUUUUACACAUCAGAAUCAGGAUUUUCUUUUUGUGCCUUUGCUGUAAUGGUUUUCCGGUGGCGAUGAGCCUUUCUUAUGAAUAACGGUUCUUUGAGAUAUGUCUCUCUUAGAUGCGGAAACUUCUUUUGAAUUUGGUCUGUUGAAUUUAAGAUUUGUGCGCGGUGCUCAAGACUUGUGUGACGACGAGGAGCAGCGGAGCUUGGCGAAGGAAGGUUUGAGAGUCAGAUCUUCCUGUGGAAACUGGCGUUCGGGGCCGUGGGACACCCCCGAAGAUGGCUCUGACUAUGGAUAUUAAUCGUGGGUGGAUCUACAGCUUGGUUUCCGCUGUGAAGUUGCUGUGACAUCAGAUUGUUACCCAUCUGUAUUCAUCGGAGUUGUGGUUUCGUGCUCCCUAUAUCUUCUUUCCCUCAUUAAGUUCUUCUCUCUUUUAGAUCUAGGUCCAUGAUGUGCUUCGAUUGCUUGUUCUUUUGUUUUCUCCCGCGUUUUAGGUUUUCCAACGUUUCGAUGCCGGUUUAUACCUUUCCUUUUUUUUUUGGACAAACCUCAAUUUUAUAGAAUCUUACUCUCCAAGAAUGGAGAAAGUGUUCACAAAACAUGAUAACAUAGCCAUCAUGGCCAAAGAAACAAUUAUUACAAGGAAGCAAAUACAGUAAAUAAAGAUAGGGGCAAACACCACGCUUAAACAACCAAUGACGUAAAGUAGUCCUCUAAACUCAACGACCAUCAAGCUGAAAAGUGAGACGAAGCCUUGGGAAUUAACGACCACAAAGAGUGAUAUGCAUCCCGAGAUUGAAA